AGGCACUGUCUUGGAACCUCUGUGUGUCUGACCUGUGGCCUCAGGGUCUAGAGACAUUGCCAGAGCAGAUGGAGCUUGUUCACAUCCAGGGCUGCUUGGUGCUACCUAAGUGAUUCCUUUAGCUGCAAGCGCCAGUC
Molecule: small nucleolar RNA, 137 nt
Organism: Cricetulus griseus (Chinese hamster)
Lineage: Eukaryota; Metazoa; Chordata; Mammalia; Rodentia; Cricetidae
Source: Ensembl